Molecule: ribosomal RNA, 418 nt
Filed under: uncultured bacterium
Lineage: Bacteria
Description: bacterial SSU rRNA
Rfam family: Bacterial small subunit ribosomal RNA
Source: RNAcentral
UGGGGAAUAUUGGGCAAUGGGGGAAACCCUGACCCAGCAACGCCGCGUGAAGGAAGAAGGUUUUCGGAUUGUAAACUUCUGUCCUAAGGGAAGAAAGAAAUGACGGUACCUUAGGAGGAAGCCCCGGCUAACUACGUGCCAGCAGCCGCGGUAAUACGUAGGGGGCAAGCGUUGUCCGGAAUUAUUGGGCGUAAAGGGUGCGUAGGCGGCCGAUCAAGUCAGGUGUGAAAGACCCGUGCUUAACAUGGGGGUUGCACUUGAAACUGGUUGGGCUUGAGUAUGGGAGAGGCAAGCGGAAUUCCCGGUGUAGCGGUGAAAUGCGUAGAGAUCGGGAGGAACACCAGUGGCGAAGGCGGCUUGCUGGACCAAAACUGACGCUGAGGCACGAAAGCGUGGGUAGCAAACAGGAUUAGAUACC